CAGCAGCCACGGUAAAACGUAGGGUGCGAGCGUUAAUUGGAAUUACUGGGCGUAAAGCGUGCGUAGGCGGUGAGUUAAGUCUGCUGUGAAAUCCCCGGGCUCAACCUGGGAAUGGCAGUGGAUACUGGCUCGCUAGAGUGUGUCAGAGGAUGGUGGAAUUCCCGGUGUAGCGGUGAAAUGCGUAGAGAUCGGGAGGAACACCAGUGGCGAAGGCGGCCAUCUGGGACAACACUGACGCUGAGGCACGAAAGCGUGGGGAGCAAACAGGAUUAGAGACCCGCGUAGUCCCUGUCUCUUAUAA
RNAcentral lists this ribosomal RNA (301 nucleotides) under uncultured bacterium. RNAcentral's name for it is "partial 16S ribosomal RNA". It matches the Rfam family "Bacterial small subunit ribosomal RNA", at positions 509 to 809 of the family's 1533-position model. The record is from RNAcentral.